AUUGAACGCUGGCGGCAGGCCUAACACAUGCAAGUCGAGCGGGGUUUUCGGACCUAGCGGCGGACGGGUGAGUAAUGCGUAGGAAGCUGCCCGAUAGAAGGGGAUACCAGUUGGAAACGACUGUUAAUACCGCAUAAUGUCUACGGAUCAAAGUGUGGGACCUUCGGGCCACAUGCUAUCGGAUGCGCCUACGUGGGAUUAGCUAGUUGGUGAGGUAAUGGCUCACCAAGGCGACGAUCUCUAGCUGGUUUGAGAGGAUGAUCAGCCACACUGGAACUGACACACGGUCCAGACUCCUACGGGAGGCAGCAGUGGGGAAUAUUGGACAAUGGGCGCAAGCCUGAUCCAGCCAUGCCGCGUGUGUGAAGAAGGCCUUCGGGUUGUAAAGCACUUUCAGCGAGGAGGAAGGGUGGUGUGUUAAUAGCACAUCAUUUUGACGUUACUCGCAGAAGAAGCACCGGCUAACUCUGUGCCAGCCGCCGCAGUAA
This 488-nucleotide ribosomal RNA is filed under the name uncultured bacterium. Its description in RNAcentral is "partial 16S ribosomal RNA". It matches the Rfam family "Bacterial small subunit ribosomal RNA", at positions 30 to 523 of the family's 1533-position model. The record is from RNAcentral.